AAUUCGAAGCCAUGGAGGUGGUUUAUUGCUUACAUUUUAAAUGGCUGAACUUAAAGAACAGUCUCCUGGACCCACAAUCCAUCAUCAAGUCUGUGCAGAUGGCUUUGGUUUAUUCUCACGCCCCAUAGUUUCCCACUCCCUCACAGGGAGAAUCUUCCUGCAAGGUGAAUAUGAAAGUGAGCUUAAAAAAACCCUUAGAUCACAUUACCUUGAGCUUAUACAAC
Molecule: long non-coding RNA, 224 nt
Filed under: Bos taurus (domestic cattle)
Lineage: Eukaryota; Metazoa; Chordata; Mammalia; Artiodactyla; Bovidae
Description: long non-coding RNA NONBTAT001723
Source: RNAcentral